CGGGACGGGUGAGUAACGCGUGGAUAACCUGCCUCACACUGGGGGAUAACGGUUAGAAAUGACUGCUAAUACCGCAUAAGCGCACAGUACCGCAUGGUACAGUGUGAAAAACUCCGGUGGUGUGAGAUGGAUCCGCGUCUGAUUAGCCAGUUGGCGGGGUAACGGCCCACCAAAGCGACGAUCAGUAGCCGACCUGAGAGGGUGACCGGCCACAUUGGGACUGAGACACGGCCCAA
This 236-nucleotide ribosomal RNA is filed under the name uncultured bacterium. Its description in RNAcentral is "partial 16S ribosomal RNA". It matches the Rfam family "Bacterial small subunit ribosomal RNA", at positions 100 to 334 of the family's 1533-position model. The record is from RNAcentral.